CUUUACUGUAGCCUGGUAUUGGGUUCGGGCUUUGACUGCGCAGGAUAGGUGGGAGACUAUGAAGCUGCCCUUGUGGGGGCAGUGGAGUCAUCAGUGAGAUACCACUCUGUCAAGGCUAGAAUUCUAACCGUCUGCCGUUAUCCGGCGACGGAACAGUAUCAGGUGGGCAGUUUGACUGGGGCGGUCGCCUCCUAAAUGGUAACGGAGGCGCGCAAAGGUUCCCUCAGGCUGGUUGGAAAUCAGCCGAAGAGUGUAAAGGCAGAAGGGAGCUUGACUGCAAGAGCAACAACUCAAGCAGGGACGAAAGUCGGCCUUAGUGAUCCGACGGCGCUGAGUGGAAGGGCCGUCGCUCAACGGAUAAAAGUUA
RNAcentral lists this ribosomal RNA (367 nucleotides) under uncultured organism. RNAcentral's name for it is "bacterial LSU rRNA". It matches the Rfam family "Bacterial large subunit ribosomal RNA", at positions 2099 to 2465 of the family's 2925-position model. The record is from RNAcentral.